GCACUGCUGACGAGUCGCAAACAGGAUGAAACAGCUGUGCAGUGC
RNAcentral lists this non-coding RNA (45 nucleotides) under Echinostoma caproni. The record is from RNAcentral. Lineage: Eukaryota; Metazoa; Platyhelminthes; Trematoda; Plagiorchiida; Echinostomatidae.